RNAcentral lists this ribosomal RNA (253 nucleotides) under uncultured bacterium. Its description in RNAcentral is "partial 16S ribosomal RNA". It matches the Rfam family "Bacterial small subunit ribosomal RNA", at positions 524 to 776 of the family's 1533-position model. The record is from RNAcentral.
UACGUAGGGGGCAAGCGUUGUCCGGAAUCAUUGGGCGUAAAGAGCGUGUAGGCGGCCCGGUAAGUCCGCCGUGAAAGUCCAGGGCUCAACCUUGGAAAGCCGGUGGAUACUGUCGAGCUCGAGUCCGGAAGAGGCGAGUGGAAUUCCUGGUGUAGCGGUGAAAUGCGCAGAUAUCAGGAGGAACACCAAUGGCGAAGGCAGCUCGCUGGGACGGUACUGACGCUGAGACGCGAAAGCGUGGGGAGCAAACAGG